GGCCACCCAAGAUACUGAGUCAAGGGAAAACUGGAGGGAUUUUCAGCGGAAUCUCUUCUCCUAAGAAAGGUGCUUUAUUCGGGUCAUUUGGGGUGAGGAUUCGGGCACAGGAAGACUGAACAGUUUGUAGAAGAAAGCAAGGUUCCCAAAGGCUGCUUCCAAAAUGACAAGCUGAGAAGUGAGGACAGAUCGGUGGCAUGAGCAAAAGACACUAGACAUGACAUAUCAAGGAAAGACAGACGACAGCAUCAAGAGACAUAGGACACACAGCACUAGGAACAGAGAUGGAAACCUGUACAUUAUGAGCGACCCUGCCAAUAUCACAGCCUUGCCCAAGUAAAGACUAAAAUGAAAAGAGUGAACACAGUGAAGCCAUGCACCAAGGAGAGCCCCAGGAAGGUAACACAGCAUCAUGGGUGAUGGCUGACCACAGGUCCCUCAUCCCCUGCAAUGACAUGAGGAGAACUCAAGGCAUCUUGGUAUUAUAUGACCUCCGAGAGGCUGUGAACUAAGGAAGUAUGUCUUGCUCAAGGAGAGAAACUGUGGCUGAAGAGCCAAGGCCAAGUCCACCCUUCCAUGACCCCCCAGAGUACUGGUCCCUGAUUCUUACUCUUCAUAUCCGGCACUGAUUCUCCAGGAUGAUCUGGUAUCACUCUAUUUUAACUCCCGGAUGUGGCAGGGAAAGGAAAAACUUUCUAUCAGGUGUCAGGCCUGGCAGGGAGCAGGAAAACUCUUCCAGCUCCUGAGAUGCUGAGAAACUCCAUACUUUAGGAUCCAGAGCUGAGUCAACAUUCUACACAGUUUGUUCACAGACUUGGAUUUUUCCAAGGUGGUGCAUCUUGCAUAUGAUCAGGCAACUUUAGUUCAAGGAAGCAGCCUGUCAGAAAGGAUGUUGAAGUAGGAGGCUAGAGUCUUCACAUUUUAAGAGAAAAAAGGAGACCAUUUGGAGGCCAAACAAUUAUAAAAGGAGGUUUCAUGCAACAGAUGAUAGCAAACUCUAUAGUUUUUUUGGGAAAAGGGAGAAUGCUCCAAGGAGAAUGCUCUUCACCUUUGUGGUGGGCAUUGUGAAGUUAAGCAUACACUUCUCCAUAGGAAAAGAGACAGCAUCUCCCUCUCCCUGUAUGUCAACCAGUUGUCCCAGCAACAAUAGAUUCUGGA
This 1158-nucleotide long non-coding RNA is filed under the name Fukomys damarensis (Damara mole-rat). RNAcentral describes it as "lncRNA (ENSFDAG00000030957.1)". Lineage: Eukaryota; Metazoa; Chordata; Mammalia; Rodentia; Bathyergidae. The record is from RNAcentral.